This 594-nucleotide ribosomal RNA is filed under the name Aureobasidium melanogenum. RNAcentral's name for it is "LSU rRNA". It matches the Rfam family "Eukaryotic large subunit ribosomal RNA", at positions 70 to 682 of the family's 3401-position model. The record is from RNAcentral. Lineage: Eukaryota; Fungi; Ascomycota; Dothideomycetes; Dothideales; Saccotheciaceae.
CGGGUAUGCUAGUACGGCGAGUGAGCGGCAACAGCUCAAAUUUGAAAGCUGGCCUUCGGGUCCGCAUUGUAAUUUGUAGAGGAUGCUUUGGGUAAAACGCCAGUCUAAGUUCCUUGGAACAGGACGUCAUAGAGGGUGAGAAUCCCGUAUGUGACUGGAAAUGUUAACCUAUGUAAAGCUCCUUCGACGAGUCGAGUUGUUUGGGAAUGCAGCUCUAAAUGGGAGGUAAAUUUCUUCUAAAGCUAAAUAUUGGCGAGAGACCGAUAGCGCACAAGUAGAGUGAUCGAAAGAUGAAAAGCACUUUGGAAAGAGAGUUAAAAAGCACGUGAAAUUGUUGAAAGGGAAGCGCUUGCAAUCAGACUUGUUUAAACUGUUCGGCCGGUCUUCUGACCGGUUUACUCAGUUUGGACAGGCCAGCAUCAGUUUCGGCGGCCGGAUAAAGGCUCUGGGAAUGUGGCCUCCACUUCGGUGGAGGUGUUAUAGCCCAGUGUGUAAUACGGCCAGCCGGGACUGAGGUCCGCGCUUCGGCUAGGAUGCUGGCGUAAUGGUUGUAAGCGACCCGUCUUGAACCACCGGACCAAAAAUUUCCCCCCC